Molecule: long non-coding RNA, 1205 nt
Organism: Anguilla anguilla (European eel)
Lineage: Eukaryota; Metazoa; Chordata; Actinopteri; Anguilliformes; Anguillidae
Exons: 3
Source: RefSeq, a predicted model, not a curated record
UCCAAUGACAGGAAUGUUUAAGUGAGUUAACAAUAGGCUGUAGGUUCUAAAGUAGAUUUUUCAACAGUUGAUACUGCAAGGUGAUCACCUGUAGGUUGUGAGUCCUGACCCUGACUCUCCUGCAACCUGGGGACCUUUGAUAGAUUUACCUGAUUCUGAUUCCGCAGUUCUCCAGAACACACUCAGAUCCUCUCAGCAGGUUGUAGGUUCUGAACCCGGCACACGCGUGCGGGUUCCCCUCAGGUGCUCACCUGCAGGUUGUGGCUGACCUCCAUGCUGACCUUCGGCAGAGACACGGCCACCGCCCGCUCCUCCGUUUUGCUCAGCCAGGUGUCCAGCUGCUUGGGGGUGAGCAGCUUCUCCAGGCGUUCCAGGGGCUCCACGUGGUAGGGCAUGAUCAGGAUCAUGCUGGACUUCUUGUGGGCCAGCGGCAUGUUCAGCACGUACAGCUUGUUCUCAGUGUCCUCGUGGAAGUGGUACAGGCCUGGAGGAACAGAGGGGAAAAAACAAGCCACUUUCAUUCCCCCUCUGCCGUUUUCACAGGCCCAGUGUCUGCACUCCUAAUAAGGCUCAGAAGUUUCUUUGCCUGUUCUUGGCGUGGGGAGCAAGUGGCACAAACAUCAACCUCAAGCCGUCAUCACUGAAGCAUCUUCUACUUGCAUCAUUUUGACGAUGACUAAUUUUCAUGGCGGCGUAAAGCAAAAUGUUGGCUUUUGGAUGAUAUCGUCAAGGACGCUCACCUGUACGGUGCAUCAUGGGAACUGAAAUGGUGAAGGACCGGGUGACGAGGAAGGCACGGUUGUCCACCAUCUUGUGGUGAAACCUCUCGUCCCAGUGAGCUGUGAGGAUUGGAGUGCAGUGUUAACUUGGAGCUACAGCACGUUCUCAGACAUCACAACGUGAAAUGAAAGGGUUAAAGGCCUUUUCUGAUCUGUGCAACACAAUAACGUCCCCUGAAACAAUUCUUGGUCUGGAAUGGGACUGUCCUACAAGUAAUUAGAAAGUUUUCAGAAGUACCUCAACAUUAUCUAUCAUGUGAACAGUCCAGUGGGAGACCUGGAAAGGUUGUCGAGUAAUAGCUGCUCAUAAAAUCGAUUGUUAUGUGGUCAAACCUUUCCACAGCUAUUUGGUGUGAGAAGACCCCUUUCCUUACCUGCCCCAGAGGUAUACCCCAAGAAAUUGUGGAGGGUCUACUCACGUUUGAA